This 464-nucleotide ribosomal RNA is filed under the name uncultured bacterium. RNAcentral describes it as "partial 16S ribosomal RNA". It matches the Rfam family "Bacterial small subunit ribosomal RNA", at positions 339 to 795 of the family's 1533-position model. The record is from RNAcentral.
CUACGGGUCGCUGCAGUGAGGAAUUUUGCGCAAUGGGGGAAACCCUGACGCAGCAACGCCGCGUGAGCGAAGAAGGCCCUCGGGUCGUAAAGCUCUGUCAAGUGGGAAAAAAAUUUUUUGAUCAAUAGUCAAAAGACUUGAUGGUACCACUGGAGGAAGCACCGGCUAACUCCGUGCCAGCAGCCGCGGUAAUACGGAGGGUGCGAGCGUUGUUCGGAUUUACUGGGCGUAAAGAGCGUGUAGGCGGUUUAGCAAGUCAGAUGUGAAAGCCCUGGGCUCAACCCGGGAAGUGCAUUUGAAACUGCUUCACUAGAGUAUGGGAGAGGAGAUUGGAAUUCCUGGUGUAGAGGUGAAAUUCGUAGAUAUCAGGAGGAACACCCGUGGCGAAGGCGAUUCUCUGGACCAAUACUGACGCUGAGACGCGAAAGCGUGGGGAGCAAACAGGAUUAGAUACCCGCGUAGUC